RNAcentral lists this long non-coding RNA (1059 nucleotides) under Oncorhynchus mykiss (rainbow trout). Its description in RNAcentral is "lncRNA (ENSOMYG00000061252.1)". Lineage: Eukaryota; Metazoa; Chordata; Actinopteri; Salmoniformes; Salmonidae. The record is from RNAcentral.
UGCAUCGUAAACAUCUCCAAAGAGCUGGCGUCGUGCUGGAAACCAGGAGGCUAGCUAGCUCUUUCCAAAAAGGCAUAUGAUAAACAGCCAGCUAGCUAGGUUUUGGUCCUAUCUAGUCACCAUCCAUCUACACCGGCGUUUCAAAUCCCCUUUUUCAGUAUAAUAUGGUGAUUUCAUCAAGCAAAAACGGACAGGUACGGCCUAUCAGCUAAAUUCACAGGUAACGCUAUUGCUGUUUCACUGCUUCCGAGCACUGACCCAGAUUAUCUACUGGGAAGAUGGAGAGACCUGUAUCUACUGGGAAGAUGGAGGAGUAGAGACCUGUGUCUACUGGGAAGAUGGAGGAGUAGAGACCUGUGUCUACUGGGAAGAUGGAGGAGUAGAGACCUGUGUCUACUGGGAAGAUGGAGGAGUAGAGACCUGUGUCUACUGGGAAGAUGGAGGAGUAGAGACCUGUGUCUACUGGGAAGAUGGAGGAGUAGAGACCUGUGUCUACUGGGAAGAUGGAGGAGGAGUAGAGACCUGUGUCUCCUGGGAAGAUGGAGGAGGAGUAGAGACCUGUGUCUCCUGGGAAGAUGGAGGAGGAGGAGUAGAGACCUGUGUCUCCUGGGAAGAUGGAGGAGGAGGAGUAGAGACCUGUGUCUCCUGGGAAGAUGGAGGAGGAGGAGUAGAGACCUGUGUCUCCUGGGAAGAUGGAGGAGGAGGAGUAGAGACCUGUGUCUCCUGGGAAGAUGGAGGAGGAGGAGUAGAGACCUGCGUCUCCUGGGAAGACGGAGGAGCAGAGACCUGCGUCUCCUGGGAAGACGGAGGAGCAGAGACCUGCGUCUCCUGGGAAGACGGAGGAGCAGAGACCUGCGUCUCCUGGGAAGACGGAGAAGCAGAGACCUGCGUCUCCUGGGAAGACGGAGGCUGUACAUUUUGAUACGUAUCACAUUAACACCGUUAUGCUGUAGUUUUGGUGUGCAACAUUGUUGCGGUGGAAGGGGUUGCAACGCUGUGAGAACUGCUGUAGUUUUGGUGUGCAACAUUGUUGCGGUGGAAGGGGUUGCAACGCUGUGA